This 490-nucleotide ribosomal RNA is filed under the name uncultured bacterium. Its description in RNAcentral is "partial 16S ribosomal RNA". It matches the Rfam family "Bacterial small subunit ribosomal RNA", at positions 30 to 507 of the family's 1533-position model. The record is from RNAcentral.
AUUGAACGCUGGCGGCAGGCCUAACACAUGCAAGUCGAACGGUAACAGGAAACAGCUUGCUGUUUCGCUGACGAGUGGCGGACGGGUGAGUAAUGUCUGGGAAACUGCCUGAUGGAGGGGGAUAACUACUGGAAACGGUAGCUAAUACCGCAUAACGUCGCAAGACCAAAGAGGGGGACCUUCGGGCCUCUUGCCAUCAGAUGUGCCCAGAUGGGAUUAGCUAGUAGGUGGGGUAACGGCUCACCUAGGCGACGAUCCCUAGCUGGUCUGAGAGGAUGACCAGCCACACUGGAACUGAGACACGGUCCAGACUCCUACGGGAGGCAGCAGUGGGGAAUAUUGCACAAUGGGCGCAAGCCUGAUGCAGCCAUGCCGCGUGUAUGAAGAAGGCCUUCGGGUUGUAAAGUACUUUCAGCGGGGAGGAAAGGAGUAAAGUUAAUACCUUUGCUCAUUGACGUUACCCGCAGAAGAAGCACCGGCUAACUCCGUG